RNAcentral lists this ribosomal RNA (320 nucleotides) under uncultured soil bacterium. Its description in RNAcentral is "bacterial SSU rRNA". It matches the Rfam family "Bacterial small subunit ribosomal RNA", at positions 26 to 376 of the family's 1533-position model. The record is from RNAcentral.
AGAACGAACGCUGGCGGCACGCCUAACACAUGCAAGUCGAACGAACCCUUCGGGGUUAGUGGCGCACGGGUGCGUAACGCGUGGGAACCUACCAUCAGGUUCGGAAUAACAGUUAGAAAUGACUGCUAAUACCGGAUAAUGUCUUCGGACCAAAGAUUUAUCGCCUUUUGAUGGGCCCGCGUUGGAUUAGCUAGUUGGUAAGGUAAAAGCUUACCAAGGCGACGAUCCUUAGCUGGUCUGAGAGGAUGAUCAGCCACACUGGGACUGAGACACGGCCCAGACUCCUACGGGAGCAGCAGUAGGAAUAGUUGACAAUGGGC